This 447-nucleotide ribosomal RNA is filed under the name uncultured bacterium. RNAcentral's name for it is "bacterial SSU rRNA". It matches the Rfam family "Bacterial small subunit ribosomal RNA", at positions 355 to 825 of the family's 1533-position model. The record is from RNAcentral.
UGGGGAAUCUUGGACAAUGGGCGCAAGCCUGAUCCAGCCAUGCCGCGUGAGUGAAGAAGGCCUUAGGGUUGUAAAGCUCUUUUACCAGGGACGAUAAUGACGGUACCUGGAGAAUAAGCCCCGGCAAACUUCGUGCCAGCAGCCGCGGUAAUACGAAGGGGGCUAGCGUUGUUCGGAAUUACUGGGCGUAAAGCGCACGUAGGCGGGUCGUUAAGUCAGGGGUGAAAUCCCGGAGCUCAACUCCGGAACUGCCUUUGAUACUGGCGAUCUAGAGGUCGAGAGAGGUGAGUGGAAUUCCGAGUGUAGAGGUGAAAUUCGUAGAUAUUCGGAAGAACACCAGUGGCGAAGGCGGCUCACUGGCUCGAUACUGACGCUGAGGUGCGAAAGCGUGGGGAGCAAACAGGAUUAGAUACCCCCGUAGUCCCUGAGCGGGCUGGCAAGGCGCAU